RNAcentral lists this transfer RNA (76 nucleotides) under Bacilli bacterium. RNAcentral's name for it is "tRNA-Lys". It matches the Rfam family "tRNA". From Rfam's summary of the family: Transfer RNA (tRNA) molecules are approximately 80 nucleotides in length. Their secondary structure includes four short double-helical elements and three loops (D, anti-codon, and T loops). The record is from RNAcentral. Lineage: Bacteria; Bacillati; Bacillota; Bacilli.
GUCUCCUUAGCUCAGUUGGUAGAGCAACUGACUCUUAAUCAGUGGGUCCAGAGUUCGAAUCUCUGAGGGGACACCA